Molecule: ribosomal RNA, 1343 nt
Filed under: uncultured bacterium
Lineage: Bacteria
Description: 16S ribosomal RNA
Rfam family: Bacterial small subunit ribosomal RNA
Source: RNAcentral
GACGAACGCUGGCGGCGUGCUUAACACAUGCAAGUCGAACGGAAAGGCCCUGCUUUUGUGGGGUGCUCGAGUGGCGAACGGGUGAGUAACACGUGAGUAACCUGCCCUUGACUUUGGGAUAACUUCAGGAAACUGGGGCUAAUACCGGAUAGGAGCUCCUGCUGCAUGGUGGGGGUUGGAAAGUUUCGGCGGUUGGGGAUGGACUCGCGGCUUAUCAGCUUGUUGGUGGGGUAGUGGCUUACCAAGGCUUUGACGGGUAGCCGGCCUGAGAGGGUGACCGGCCACAUUGGGACUGAGAUACGGCCCAGACUCCUACGGGAGGCAGCAGUGGGGAAUAUUGCACAAUGGGCGGAAGCCUGAUGCAGCAACGCCGCGUGCGGGAUGACGGCCUUCGGGUUGUAAACCGCUUUCGCCUGUGACGAAGCGUGAGUGACGGUAAUGGGUAAAGAAGCACCGGCUAACUACGUGCCAGCAGCCGCGGUGAUACGUAGGGUGCGAGCGUUGUCCGGAUUUAUUGGGCGUAAAGGGCUCGUAGGUGGUUGAUCGCGUCGGAAGUGUAAUCUUGGGGCUUAACCCUGAGCGUGCUUUCGAUACGGGUUGACUUGAGGAAGGUAGGGGAGAAUGGAAUUCCUGGUGGAGCGGUGGAAUGCGCAGAUAUCAGGAGGAACACCAGUGGCGAAGGCGGUUCUCUGGGCCUUUCCUGACGCUGAGGAGCGAAAGCGUGGGGAGCGAACUGGCUUAGAUACCCUGGUAGUCCACGCUGUAAACGGUGGGUACUAGGUGUGGGGUCCAUUCCACGGGUUCCGUGCCGUAGCUAACGCUUUAAGUACCCCGCCUGGGGAGUACGGCCGCAGGGCUAAAACUCAAAGGAAUUGACGGGGCCCCGCACAAGCGGCGGAGCAUGCGGAUUAAUUCGAUGCAACGCGUAGAACCUUACCUGGGUUUGACAUGGAUCGGGAGUGCUCAGAGAUGGGUGUGCCUCUUUUGGGGUCGGUUCACAGGUGGUGCAUGGCUGUCGUCAGCUCGUGUCGUGAGAUGUUGGGUUAAGUCCCGCAACGAGCGCAACCCUUGUUCACUGUUGCCAGCACGUUAUGGUGGGGACUCAGUGGAGACCGCCGGGGUCAACUCGGAGGAAGGUGGGGAUGACGUCAAGUCAUCAUGCCCCUUAUGUCCAGGGCUUCACGCAUGCUACAAUGGCUGGUACAGAGAGUGGCGAGCCUGUGAGGGUGAGCGAAUCUCGGAAAGCCGGUCUCAGUUCGGAUUGGGGUCUGCAACUCGACCUCAUGAAGUCGGAGUCGCUAGUAAUCGCAGAUCAGCAACGCUGCGGUGAAUACGUUCCCGGG